This is a non-coding RNA of Phascolarctos cinereus (koala), 1531 nucleotides long. Lineage: Eukaryota; Metazoa; Chordata; Mammalia; Diprotodontia; Phascolarctidae. The record is from RefSeq and is a predicted model, not a curated record.
UUGAGCCACACAUGGAACAAUGUUUUCACUUCUGAGAAUCAAAUUUUAGCAAAGAUAUUAAACUGGAAAGAAUGCAAGAGGGCAACCAGGAUGGUUAAAAGACCUGAGUUCAUAUCCUGUGGGGAUCAGUUGAAGGAACUGGACAUGUUUAGUCUAGAGAAGAGAAGAGAAGAGAAGACUUGGAGAGGGGGAAGGGAAGACUGAAAACAAGUUGUGAUCAACUUUUCAAAGGAAGAUUGUUGGGACUUUCAAAAAGUUGGGAGAAACAUUUUUCUUGAUUGUUUCCUCAAAAUGGUGAGGAAAAGAAGAAAAGCAAUGGAAACAUGUGAGUAGACUGCAAACAAGGAAAUUCCUGCCAAGGACACGUGAAACCUGUUACGUUGGUCACUCUGGAUCUUAUUCAAGCAUUUACUGUUACUAGUUGAAAAAGAUGUGUUGACCCAAUGCCUCCACUUAACUACCUUCCUGAUGUCAUGGUCCUCUUCAAGAACGAAGGAUAAACAACAACCUGACCUACAACAAAUGAGAAGCUCCAUCAAGCUGGCCUGAUCCCCAGACUAGGAAGUAAUCUUCAUCUCUUCAGAAUUUUCAUAGUCCUUUCCAUUUUGCAUUAUAUUCAUUUUUAUUUGUGUAUGCUUAUAUAUUGUGUAUACUUAACACAGUGCAUUAUAUUUAUUUGUGUAUGCUUCCCAAGAGCUUGCAAUAAUGAGGUUUUUUUUUUAUUAGAUUGUGUCUAGAAGACAGCUUCCUGUAUUUCCUAGCAUAGCGCUUGGUACAUAAUAGGAACCCAACAAAUGCUUCUUUAGUCUGACUUACCCUCCUAACACUCCCUUAAGGUUGGGCAGAGCAGGCAUUAUAAUUCUAUAACUUAAUAAAUGGGGGCAAAGGAGGCUCAGAGAGUUCUAGUUGCUAGCCCAGGAUCAUCUAGUUUGUUGGGGACAAAGCCAGUAUUAAAACUAUAACUACUAACUUCCUAGUUCAAUAUCCAUAUAAAGAAGUACCUGACAUAUAUUUUGGGGAAAUGUAAUUGAUGAAGAUAAGCUUCUGUUCUAUGGCCUUUUUUUUUAAAGGAGUCACAGAAUCACAGACUUUAGGAGUGCAAAGGGAUUUCAGGAGCUACCUCAUUCCAACCUAGAUCCAAAAGGAAUUUCCAAGACACACACACAUUUAGAAGUGGUCUUCUGAAUUAACAUGGGAUAUGGUCUGGAUUAUGUUUCCUUCAUGCUACUUCAACUAGGGAUGCUUUGUGAAGAAUUAUUUUUUGUUUCAAGUGUACUUAAAUAUAAUUUCCUCUUUACUUGGAUACUUCGGCAAUACUGUUUGAUCUGGAUGAUUUUUUUUAAAAAAAGUUGACUGCUCAUUUUUAUUAUCAAGUUUAUCCUGUAACCAGAAGAUAACUAGUUAUCACUGAUGGAAAUUUGUGCAAAUGGGAACUGACUGUAUGUCUUAAUAUUGACCAUGGUGGUUGGAGAAUACAGCUGUUAUUCAUUAUGGAGAUGCUUGUCAGGUAUAAAUAAAACUCAAUAGAAUA